RNAcentral lists this ribosomal RNA (502 nucleotides) under uncultured bacterium. RNAcentral's name for it is "partial 16S ribosomal RNA". It matches the Rfam family "Bacterial small subunit ribosomal RNA", at positions 30 to 523 of the family's 1533-position model. The record is from RNAcentral.
AUUGAACGCUGGCGGCAGGCUUAACACAUGCAAGUCGAGCGGGGUGAUGGUGCUUGCACUAUCACUUAGCGGCGGACGGGUGAGUAGUGCUUAGGAAUCUGCCUAUUAGUGGGGGACAACAUCUCGAAAGGGAUGCUAAUACCGCAUACGUCCUACGGGAGAAAGCAGGGGAUCACUUGUGACCUUGCGCUAAUAGAUGAGCCUAAGUCGGAUUAGCUAGUUGGUGGGGUAAAGGCCUACCAAGGCGACGAUCUGUAGCGGGUCUGAGAGGAUGAUCCGCCACACUGGGACUGAGACACGGCCCAGACUCCUACGGGAGGCAGCAGUGGGGAAUAUUGGACAAUGGGGGAACCCUGAUCCAGCCAUGCCGCGUGUGUGAAGAAGGCCUUAUGGUUGUAAAGCACUUUAAGCGAGGAGGAAGCUCUUUUGGUUAAUACCCAAGAUGAGUGGACGUUACUCGCAGAAUAAGCACCGGCUAACUCUGUGCCAGCCGCCGCGGUAA